GGGGCUGUAGCUCAGUGGUAGAGCACUUGCCUAGCACAUAGGAGACACUGGGUUUGAUUCUCAGCACCA
This 69-nucleotide transfer RNA is filed under the name Ictidomys tridecemlineatus (thirteen-lined ground squirrel). Its description in RNAcentral is "Spermophilus tridecemlineatus (thirteen-lined ground squirrel) tRNA". It matches the Rfam family "tRNA". Rfam says of the family: Transfer RNA (tRNA) molecules are approximately 80 nucleotides in length. Their secondary structure includes four short double-helical elements and three loops (D, anti-codon, and T loops). The record is from Rfam by way of RNAcentral. Lineage: Eukaryota; Metazoa; Chordata; Mammalia; Rodentia; Sciuridae.